AUACGUAGGUGACAAGCGUUAUCCGGAUUUACUGGGCGUAAAGGGCGUGUAGGCGGUCUUGCAAGUCAGAAGUGAAAUUCCUGAGCUCAGCUCGGGCGCUGCUUCUGAAACUGCAGGACUUGAGUGCUGGAGGGGAUCGCGGAAUUCCUAGUGGAGCGGUAAAAUGCGCAGAUAUUAGGAAGAACACCGGUGGCGAAGGCGGCUAUCUGGACAGUAACUGACGCUGAGGCGCGAAAGCGUGGGGAGCAAACAGGAUUAGAUACCCUGGUAGACCACGCUGUAAACGAUGAUUACUAGGUGUGGGGGGACUGACCCCUUCCGUGCCGCAGUUAACACAAUAAGUAAUCCACCUGGGGAGUACGGCCGCAAGGUUGAAACUCAAAUGAAUUGACGGGG
This 396-nucleotide ribosomal RNA is filed under the name uncultured bacterium. RNAcentral describes it as "partial 16S ribosomal RNA". It matches the Rfam family "Bacterial small subunit ribosomal RNA", at positions 523 to 918 of the family's 1533-position model. The record is from RNAcentral.